CUCCUACGGGGGGCAGCAGUGGGGAAUAUUGCACAAUGGGGGAAACCCUGAUGCAGCGACGCCGCGUGAGCGAGGAAGUAUUUCGGUAUGUAAAGCUCUAUCAGCAGGGAAGAAAAUGACGGUACCUGACUAAGAAGCCCCGGCUAACUACGUGCCAGCAGCCGCGGUAAUACGUAGGGGGCAAGCGUUAUCCGGAUUUACUGGGGGUAAAGGGAGCGUAGACGGUCCUGCAAGCCGGAUGUGAAAGCGCGGGG
Molecule: ribosomal RNA, 254 nt
Filed under: uncultured bacterium
Lineage: Bacteria
Description: partial 16S ribosomal RNA
Rfam family: Bacterial small subunit ribosomal RNA
Source: RNAcentral